Molecule: long non-coding RNA, 202 nt
Filed under: Elaeis guineensis (African oil palm)
Lineage: Eukaryota; Viridiplantae; Streptophyta; Magnoliopsida; Arecales; Arecaceae
Description: long non-coding RNA (EGUI_LNC006591)
Source: RNAcentral
CCAUGGUAGCUCCAACAUGUGCUUUAAAACUAACUAGACAUGCUAUUUGCAUAAUGUGUGUUUAAAACAUGUGACAUGGGAAAUGAGAGACCAUUGCAUGGGUCAAUUCCCCCAUUUUUCAGUCAUCCGUCUCUGUCCAUAUUGAAGACAACAAGCUAAUACAUGCAGCAUGCACCUGGAGGAGAAAUACUCGCAGUCGUGC